Molecule: ribosomal RNA, 497 nt
Filed under: uncultured bacterium
Lineage: Bacteria
Description: partial 16S ribosomal RNA
Rfam family: Bacterial small subunit ribosomal RNA
Source: RNAcentral
GAUGAACGCUGGCGGCGUGCCUAAUACAUGCAAGUCGAACGCAUAGCGAAAGGUGCUUGCCCCUUUCAAGUGAGUGGCGAACGGGUGAGUAACACGUGGACAACCUGCCUCAAGGCUGGGGAUAACAUUUGGAAACAGAUGCUAAUACCGAAUAAAACUUAGUGUCGCAUGACACAAAGUUAAAAGGCGCUUCGGCGUCACCUAGAGAUGGAUCCGCGGUGCAUUAGUUAGUUGGUGGGGUAAAGGCCUACCAAGACAAUGAUGCAUAGCCGAGUUGAGGGACUGAUCGGCCACAUUGGGACUGAGACACGGCCCAAACUCCUACGGGAGGCUGCAGUAGGGAAUCUUCCACAAUGGGCGAAAGCCUGAUGGAGCAACGCCGCGUGUGUGAUGAAGGCUUUCGGGUCGUAAAGCACUGUUGUAUGGGAAGAACAGCUAGAAUAGGAAAUGAUUUUAGUUUGACGGUACCAUACCAGAAAGGGACGGCUAAAUACGUG